Homo sapiens (human) is the source of this 373-nucleotide long non-coding RNA. RefSeq lists it as uncharacterized. The transcript is spliced from 2 exons. The record is from RefSeq and is a predicted model, not a curated record. NCBI's taxonomy places the organism in Eukaryota, Metazoa, Chordata, Mammalia, Primates, Hominidae.
AGAUUUCAACUGACAAGUUUUCUGCAAGAAAGAUGCUUCUCUGGUAUCUGCUGAGAUCAUUUGAAAUCAUGGUAGAACGCCCAGAAUUAUGGGCUCUUCUUGAAAUUGGAUAUCAUCAAACGAGGCACUAAUUACAGAACAAUUAACAAAAGCCUAAAAGGGUGUAAUGGAGAAUUUCUAAUGAAUCCUGACUUAUCAUGGCUGAAAGAAGACUUGAAGUUGGAUUAAUGUAGAAACACUGGAAUUCUACUGAAGGAGCUGGUGCUUGAUUUGAUAGAAAAAAAGAAUUAUUACACUGUUCUAUUCCCUUUUUCAGUUUGUAAAACUCCUCAGACAAUUGUUUUCUAAGAAAGGAUUAAACUCCUAUAUGAAA